Molecule: ribosomal RNA, 244 nt
Filed under: Vibrio sp. 12_2a
Lineage: Bacteria; Pseudomonadati; Pseudomonadota; Gammaproteobacteria; Vibrionales; Vibrionaceae
Description: partial 16S ribosomal RNA
Rfam family: Bacterial small subunit ribosomal RNA
Source: RNAcentral
CUUACCUACUCUUGACAUCUACAGAAGUCGGCGGAGACGCUGAUGUGCCUUCGGGAACUGUAAGACAGGUGCUGCAUGGCUGUCGUCAGCUCGUGUUGUGAAAUGUUGGGUUAAGUCCCGCAACGAGCGCAACCCUUAUCCUUGUUUGCCAGCGAGUAAUGUCGGGAACUCCAGGGAGACUGCCGGUGAUAAACCGGAGGAAGGUGGGGACGACGUCAAGUCAUCAUGUAGGGCUACACACGUG